Homo sapiens (human) is the source of this 929-nucleotide long non-coding RNA. Ensembl annotates it as long intergenic non-protein coding RNA 339. The record is from Ensembl. NCBI's taxonomy places the organism in Eukaryota, Metazoa, Chordata, Mammalia, Primates, Hominidae.
GGUGCAAAGGCUUAAGGGUGUAACCUCAGAAUGGGGCCCUGAAUCAGCUGUGGGCGAGCUCCUAGAGUAUCUUAAUUCCUGCUUCAUCUCUUUCCAUUUUGCAGUUGGGCAAACUGCGGCUCAGAAAGAUAAAGAACUUCUCCGGAGCGAAAAAGCUGCUAAGAAUGUAUCCAAAACUCCGCACGAAGUCUGGAACGUUUUUUCUUAGAGUUCCAGAAUUGAGACUGAAGUGUACCCAGAGACACAAAGAAAUACAGAAGUCCAGAAUGAUCAAAUGAGAUCACUACCCAAUGAAAUGAUGGGCCGAGGAGCCAGAAGUUGUCCUACUACCUGCUUUCCAGGUCCAGAUUCCACGAGAGCCUUCUGGGCUCCCACCAGAGACCCUCAGUGAAGACUCUGUUGAAGACUUUAAGACCAUGCUAGAAAGCCUCCCGGCAGAGGUUCAGGAAGUUCUGCUAUGAGGAUGCAGCUGGCCCCAGGGAUGUCCUCAGGCAUCUCUAGGACCUUGCUGGACGGUGGUGGCUGAGACCUGAUAUCCACACAAAGGAGCAGACUGUGGAAAUGCUGGUGCAGGAGCAAUUCCAGGCUGUCCUGCCCGAGGAGCUCAGAGCUCAAGCACAGAGAUGUCAGCCUGGAAUCAGAAUCACUGGCUAAGUCUUGCUGCUUGCUUCUUGCUCAGCCUGCAUAUGAGAAGUCAACCAAGCAUUCUCUUGGAUGCAAGAUCCAACUGCACCCAUGGGAAAUCUGAACUUCCACUUUCUUUGAGCUUGUCUUUGGUUGUAAUAAGAAUCCAUCAAAACCCAUGUCUGGAUCUCUCUUUGGCUGAGGCAGCUUUAUUUCCUACAGAAAGAGUUUCUCUGUCCUCUUGUUAGGACAAUCAGCCUGCUGCUUUGGGCUUUUCCAAGAGCCUAUUUUUCAUCUGCUGGAUG